GUGGGGAAUAUUGCACAAUGGGCGAAAGCCUGAUGCAGCAACGCCGCGUGAGGGACGACGGCCUUCGGGUUGUAAACCUCUUUUAGUAGGGAAGAAGCGAAAGUGACGGUACCUGCAGAAAAAGCACCGGCUAACUACGUGCCAGCAGCCGCGGUAAUACGUAGGGUGCAAGCGUUAUCCGGAAUUAUUGGGCGUAAAGAGCUCGUAGGCGGUCUGUCGCGUCUGCUGUGAAAACUGGAGGCUCAACCUCCAGCCUGCAGUGGGUACGGGCAGACUAGAGUGCGGUAGGGGAGAUUGGAAUUCCUGGUGUAGCGGUGGAAUGCGCAGAUAUCAGGAGGAACACCGAUGGCGAAGGCAGAUCUCUGGGCCGUAACUGACGCUGAGGAGCAAAAGCGUGGGGAGCGAACAGGAUUAGAAACCCGAGUAGUCC
Molecule: ribosomal RNA, 430 nt
Filed under: uncultured bacterium
Lineage: Bacteria
Description: bacterial SSU rRNA
Rfam family: Bacterial small subunit ribosomal RNA
Source: RNAcentral